CCUACGGGAGGCAGCAGUGAGGAAUAUUGGUCAAUGGGCGCAAGCCUGAACCAGCCAUCCCGCGUGCAGGAAGACGGCGCUAUNCGUUGUAAACUGCUUUUCCAGGGGGAGAAACUUGCGCACGUGUUGCGCAAUUGACGGUACCCUGGGAAUAAGCAUCGGCUAACUCCGUGCCAGCAGCCGCGGUAAU
This 190-nucleotide ribosomal RNA is filed under the name uncultured bacterium. Its description in RNAcentral is "partial 16S ribosomal RNA". It matches the Rfam family "Bacterial small subunit ribosomal RNA", at positions 338 to 524 of the family's 1533-position model. The record is from RNAcentral.